RNAcentral lists this ribosomal RNA (397 nucleotides) under uncultured bacterium. Its description in RNAcentral is "bacterial SSU rRNA". It matches the Rfam family "Bacterial small subunit ribosomal RNA", at positions 362 to 776 of the family's 1533-position model. The record is from RNAcentral.
UAUUGCACAAUGGGGGGAACCCUGAUGCAGCGACGCCGCGUGGGUGAAGAAGUACCUCGGUAUGUAAAGCCCUAUCAGCAGGGAAGAUGAUGACAGUACCUGACUAGGAAGCCCCGGCUAACUACGUGCCAGCAGCCGCGGUAAUACGUAGGGGGCAAGCGUUAUCCGGAUUUACUGGGUGUAAAGGGAGCGUAGGCGGCCAUGCAAGACAGAAGUGAAAGCCCGGGGCCCAACCCCGGGACUGCUUUUGAAACUGUGUGGCUGGAGUGUCGGAGGGGUAAGUGGAAUUCCUAGUGUAGCGGUGAAAUGCGUAGAUAUUAGGAGGAACACCAGUGGCGAAGGCGGCUUACUGGACGACCACCGACGCUGAGGCUCGAAAGCGUGGGGAGCAAACAGG